RNAcentral lists this ribosomal RNA (432 nucleotides) under Triticum aestivum (bread wheat). RNAcentral describes it as "partial small subunit ribosomal RNA". The record is from RNAcentral. Lineage: Eukaryota; Viridiplantae; Streptophyta; Magnoliopsida; Poales; Poaceae.
AUGGCCACCAGGGUUGAUUUGCUUUUGCAGAGGUACUGUGCAGCUUCUGGACAACGCAUAAACAAGUAGAAGUCCUCUAUUUUCUUUAGCAAGGGCUGCCCUGAGAACUUGAGGGAAGAGGUCAAAGUGGUGCUUGAUGUUUAGAAUGAGAAACUGUCCGAAAAGUAUCUUGGGCUCCCUUCUGAUGUGGGGCGAGCUAAGGAGGGCUCCUUCAAAUUCCUUAAGGAUAAAAUCUGGAAACAAGUGCAGGGAUGGAUGGAAAAAACUCUUUCAGUGGGGGGUAAGGAGGUUCUUAUUAAGUCGGUGGCCCAAGCUAUCCCAACAUACUCUACGGCAUGUUUCAAACUGCCACGGGGUUUGUGCCAACAUAUAAACGGCCUGCUUCGGAAAUUCUGGUGGGGUUCUAAAAAGGGAGAAAGGAAGGCAGCCUAG